UAUUCCCCUAGUAACUGCGAGUGAAGCGGGAAAAGCUCAAAUUUAAAAUCUGGCGGUCUUUGGCCGUCCGAGUUGUAGUCUGGAGAAGUGCUUUCCGCGCUGGACCGUGUAUAAGUCUCUUGGAACAGAGCGUCAUAGAGGGUGAGAAUCCCGUCUUUGACACGGACUACCAGUGCUUUGUGAUGCGCUCUCAAAGAGUCGAGUUGUUUGGGAAUGCAGCUCAAAAUGGGUGGUGAAUUCCAUCUAAAGCUAAAUAUUGGCGAGAGACCGAUAGCGAACAAGUACCGUGAGGGAAAGAUGAAAAGCACUUUGGAAAGAGAGUUAAACAGUACGUGAAAUUGCUGAAAGGGAAACGCUUGAAGUCAGUCGCGUUGUCCGGAACUCAGCCUUGCUUUUGCUUGGUGCACUUUCCGGAUGACGGGUCAGCAUCGAUUUUGACCGUCGGAAAAGGGCUGGAGUAAUGUGGCACCUCCGGGUGUGUUAUAGACUCUGGUCGCAUACGGCGGUUGGGAUCGAGGAACGCAGCGCGCCGCAAGGCAGGGGUUCGCCCACUUUCGCGCUUAGGAUGCUGGCAUAAUGGCUUUAAACGACCCGUCUUGAAACACGGACCAAGGAGUCUAACAUACCUGCGAGUGUUUGGGUGGAAAACCCGAGCGCGCAAUGAAAGUGAAAGUUGAGACCCCUGUCGUGGGGGGCAUCGACGCCCGGACCUGACGUUCUCUGACGGAUCCGCGGUAGAGCAUGUAUGUUGGGACCCGAAAGAUGGUGAACUAUGCCUGAAUAGGGUGAAGCCAGAGGAAACUCUGGUGGAGGCUCGUAGCGAUUCUGACGUGCAAAUCGAUCGUC
RNAcentral lists this ribosomal RNA (846 nucleotides) under Ganoderma williamsianum. Its description in RNAcentral is "partial large subunit ribosomal RNA". It matches the Rfam family "Eukaryotic large subunit ribosomal RNA", at positions 73 to 906 of the family's 3401-position model. The record is from RNAcentral. Lineage: Eukaryota; Fungi; Basidiomycota; Agaricomycetes; Polyporales; Polyporaceae.